GUGGCCAGCGGACCAUCUCUCGUGCCCUCGCUCUCUGCGCUCCGGGGCAGCUGAGCCCCGGCCACCCGCUCUCCAAGAUGAAGAAGCUCCAGGGAGCUCACCUCCGCAAGCCUGUCACCCCAGACCUGCUGAUGACCCCCAGUGACCAGGGCGAUGUCGACCUGGAUGUGGACUUUGCUGCAGACCGGGGGAACUGGACAGGCAAGCUGGACUUCCUGCUGUCCUGCAUUGGCUACUGUGUAGGCCUGGGGAAUGUCUGGCGCUUCCCCUAUCGAGCGUACACCAAUGGAGGAGGUAUGGGCCUGAGGUCCUGUCGGAGGGUGUCUGGGGUGAUGGGCCAAGGCCCUGGGGUAGAGUGAGCUUUUAGGUGGCCUCAGCCACUGUCUCCUAGGCGACCUUGGGCAGAAUUCAUUGAAAGUGGUUUAUAGUAACUUGGGGCUGGGAGGAAGGAGUUUACCCUGUCUUGUCCUUCUCAUCACCCAAGCCCUUCCUUCCUCCCUCUCAUCCCCAGGAAGGAUACCCACAUGGUUCCCUCUCUAAGGCUGGCCACGCCACGCCCUGCAUGGUGGGCAGAGGGAGCUGCCUCU
RNAcentral lists this small RNA (587 nucleotides) under Pan troglodytes (chimpanzee). RNAcentral's name for it is "retained intron". The record is from RNAcentral. Lineage: Eukaryota; Metazoa; Chordata; Mammalia; Primates; Hominidae.